CAACUGAUUAGGCUCCAGUUCUGAAGCUUCUGUGACCUCAAGAAGCCAGGAUUUGUCUAAAUGCAGCAGGAGGAAGUGUGUCAGCAUCUGGGGGACACCGCUGGAGGUGUAGCAGAUGUCCACGAACGCGAGGUGGCCGAGGAAGAAGUACAUGGGCAGGUGGAGUCGAGUGUCCAGCCAGAUCAAGAGGAGGAUGAGCCCAUUGCCCAGCAGGGUCAGCAGGUAGGUGGCCCCAAAGAGCACAAAGAGCCCAGCCUGGGUCCGUGCAUCAUCGGAGAGACCCAUUAGGAUGAACUCACUUACCCAGCU
Molecule: long non-coding RNA, 309 nt
Filed under: Fukomys damarensis (Damara mole-rat)
Lineage: Eukaryota; Metazoa; Chordata; Mammalia; Rodentia; Bathyergidae
Description: lncRNA (ENSFDAG00000023251.1)
Source: RNAcentral